CGUCAACAUGUUAAACCCAGAGCAGUGGUCUGAGAUGUUGUGGGGGCUGGAUGUGAGGAUGAUCUCAUAUUGAUGUGAAGUGUAACUUCUUCUUUUCUCACGGUUCUUUCUUCCUCUUCAGACGCUGCACUUGUUGCUUCCUGGUAUGAAGUUGAAAUCUUUGUCUGAAGCAGAGUGACACGUUGUCAUUCACUGUUUCUCUUCAUAGACUGCAGUUCCAAGUUUCUCUUGAUACAAACAGGAAGUAUUUCUCAGGUACAACAACAGAGUGUCAGUGCUGGAUGUGAGGAUGGGACACACUUUUCUGUGUGUGCUGUUGUUGACCUUGUUGGAUACACUCCUCUACUGUGGACAUGCUCAAGAUAGACCCAGGGCCACACUGACAUCAGGACCAACAACCAUACCAGUAGGAGGCAGAGUGACACUGACCUGCUCUGUGGAGCCCUCUGCUGGAUGGAAAUAUGAGUGGUGGUUCAGACGUAGCACAGACACCUCUGAAGUUCAAGUCAAAACAAAUGAUGGCGAAAACAGAGUUAUCAAUGUAUCAAAAGAAGGA
Long non-coding RNA from Mugil cephalus (flathead mullet), 556 nucleotides. RefSeq lists it as uncharacterized. NCBI's taxonomy places the organism in Eukaryota, Metazoa, Chordata, Actinopteri, Mugiliformes, Mugilidae. The record is from RefSeq and is a predicted model, not a curated record. The transcript has 4 exons.